Molecule: ribosomal RNA, 399 nt
Filed under: uncultured bacterium
Lineage: Bacteria
Description: bacterial SSU rRNA
Rfam family: Bacterial small subunit ribosomal RNA
Source: RNAcentral
GGGGAAUAUUGGACAAUGGGCGAAAGCCUGAUCCAGCCAUGCCGCGUGAGUGAUGAAGGCCUUAGGGUUGUAAAGCUCUUUUAUCCGGGAAGAUAAUGACUGUACCGGAAGAAUAAGCCCCGGCUAACUUCGUGCCAGCAGCCGCGGUAAUACGAAGGGGGCUAGCGUUGCUCGGAAUCACUGGGCGUAAAGGGCGCGUAGGCGGCCGAUCAAGUCAGAGGUGAAAGCCCCAGGCUCAACCUGGGAAUUGCCUUUGAUACUGGUUGGCUAGAGACCGGAAGAGGUUAGUGGAACUGCGAGUGUAGAGGUGAAAUUCGUAGAUAUUCGCAAGAACACCAGUGGCGAAGGCGGCUAACUGGUCCGGUUCUGACGCUGAGGCGCGAAAGCGUGGGGAGCAAA